This 385-nucleotide unclassified non-coding RNA is filed under the name uncultured bacterium. Its description in RNAcentral is "contains 16S-23S intergenic spacer region". The record is from RNAcentral.
UCCUCAUUAAAAUGAGGCAGUCUGUCCAGAGUGCUUCGAACUCUCGUUCGAGUGGCAACAGGACACAGGGGUUGCGCUCGUUGCGGGACUUAACCCAACAUCUCACGACACGAACUGACGACAGCCAUGCAGCACCUGUGCACACUGGUAUUGCUACCUCGUUACCCUUUCAGGCUUCUACUAUGUGCAUGUCAAGGCCAGGUAAGGUUCUGCGCGUUGCUUCGAAUUGAACCACAUGCUCCACCGCUUGUGUGAGCCCCCGUCAAUUCCUUUGAGUUUUAAUCUUGCGACCGUACUCCCCAGGCGGACCAUUUACCGCGUGUGCUUCACUACUCACAACUUGCGUCGCGAUCAGUCAAUGGUCAUCGUUUACGGCAUGGACUAC